This 73-nucleotide microRNA precursor is filed under the name Amborella trichopoda. RNAcentral's name for it is "MIR319 microRNA precursor family". It matches the Rfam family "MIR319 microRNA precursor family". Lineage: Eukaryota; Viridiplantae; Streptophyta; Magnoliopsida; Amborellales; Amborellaceae. The record is from Rfam by way of RNAcentral.
UAGAAAUGGGGGUUCCUUUGAGGACAAAGAAAGCGUUUCGAAUCAUUUGGACUGAAGGAAGCUCCUAAUUCAG